Mauremys reevesii (Reeves's turtle) is the source of this 267-nucleotide long non-coding RNA. RefSeq lists it as uncharacterized. The record is from RefSeq and is a predicted model, not a curated record. Lineage: Eukaryota; Metazoa; Chordata; Testudines; Geoemydidae. The transcript has 3 exons.
UCAGGCUACAAAGCUCAGAUCCAGGUUUCGUGAAGUUUGGGGGUUGCUGGGCUCAGGGUCUGGGGCUCAGGCCUAUUUCUCACCCCUCCUUUCCCCAGCAGGGAGGACGGAACGUUUGGGAAGCCAGAGCCGUUGUUUGCGGAGCUGGAGAAGAGACUCAGCGAUUUCUCUCUGCAAAGUGCCAUGCUGCAGGAGGUGUUGCUGGGAUUCAAAGAGACGCUGCGACGGGAGCUGGGGAGCGACACAGGCUACAGAAUAACGUCCACG